Molecule: non-coding RNA, 24 nt
Filed under: Arabidopsis thaliana (thale cress)
Lineage: Eukaryota; Viridiplantae; Streptophyta; Magnoliopsida; Brassicales; Brassicaceae
Source: RNAcentral
GGGACCAAAAAGGUGAUCCAAGUG